CCCCGCUGCUCCCUGCAGAGUGUCACGUUCAGUCAGCGGUGAUGUUGGGGCAGCAGCAGAUGGACCUGGGCUCAGAGUUUCAGUCGGUGCUGGACGUGGGCAGCCUGCUGAAGCUCAGCACAGCCGGAGACCACCUGAAGGACGACAGAGAUGGUGCUGUGGACCUUAUUGAUGAGCUAAUGUCUGCGGAGGGUAAAGUCUACAGCUA
Long non-coding RNA from Notothenia coriiceps (black rockcod), 208 nucleotides. RefSeq lists it as uncharacterized. The record is from RefSeq and is a predicted model, not a curated record. Lineage: Eukaryota; Metazoa; Chordata; Actinopteri; Perciformes; Nototheniidae. The transcript is spliced from 3 exons.